Molecule: ribosomal RNA, 369 nt
Filed under: uncultured organism
Description: bacterial SSU rRNA
Rfam family: Bacterial small subunit ribosomal RNA
Source: RNAcentral
CGUAGGUGGCAAGCGUUGUCCGGAUUUAUUGGGUUUAAAGGGUGCGUAGGCGGUCUUUUAAGUCAGUGGUGAAAUACUUCAGCUCAACUGGAGAGGUGCCAUUGAUACUGGGAGACUUGAGUACUGAGGAGGUAGGCGGAAUGGACGGUGUAGCGGUGAAAUGCUUAGAUAUCGUCCAGAACACCGAUAGCGAAGGCAGCUUACUAAGGAGUAACUGACGCUGAGGCACGAAAGUGUGGGGGAUCAAACAGGAUUAGAUACCCUGGUAGUCCACACUGUAAACGAUGAUUACUCGAUGUUGGCGAUACACAGCCAGCGUCUUAGCGAAAGCGAUAAGUAAUCCACCUGGGGAGUACGCCGGCAACGGUG